CAGUAGCCGCGGGAAUACGAAGGGGGCUAGCGUUGCUCGGAAUCACUGGGCGUAAAGGGUGCGUAGGCGGGUCUUUAAGUCAGAGGUGAAAUCCUGGAGCUCAACUCCAGAACUGCCUUUGAUACUGAGGAUCUUGAGUUCGGGGGAGGUGAGUGGAACUGCGAGUGUAGAGGUGAAAUUCGUAGAUAUUCGCAAGAACACCAGUGGCGAAGGCGGCUCACUGGCCCGAUACUGACGCUGAGGCACGAAAGCGUGGGGAGCAAACAGGAUUAGAGACCCCUGUAGUCCCUGUCUCUUAUAC
This 301-nucleotide ribosomal RNA is filed under the name uncultured bacterium. Its description in RNAcentral is "partial 16S ribosomal RNA". It matches the Rfam family "Bacterial small subunit ribosomal RNA", at positions 509 to 807 of the family's 1533-position model. The record is from RNAcentral.